CAAUAGCGUAUAUUAAAGUUGUUGCAGUUAGAACGCUCGUAGUCGGAUUUCGGGGCGGGCCGACCGGUCUGCCGAUGGGUACGCACUGGUCGGCGCGUCCUUCCUUCCGGAGACCGUUCCUACUCUUAACUGAGCGGGGGCGGGAGACGGAUCGUUUACUUUGAAAAAAUCAGAGUGUUUCAAGCAGGCAGCUCGCUCUUGCAUGGAUUAGCAUGGGAUAAUGAAAUAGGACUUUGGUGCUAUUUUGUUGGUUUCGAACACCGAAGUAAUGAUUAAAAGGGACAGUCAGGGGCACUCGUAUUCCGCCGAGAGAGGUGAAAUUCUCAGACCAGCGGAAGACGAACUACUGCGAAAGCAUUUACCAAGGAUGUUUUCAUUA
This 379-nucleotide ribosomal RNA is filed under the name uncultured eukaryote. Its description in RNAcentral is "partial 18S ribosomal RNA". It matches the Rfam family "Eukaryotic small subunit ribosomal RNA", at positions 592 to 975 of the family's 1831-position model. The record is from RNAcentral.